Long non-coding RNA from Numida meleagris (helmeted guineafowl), 1804 nucleotides. RefSeq lists it as uncharacterized. NCBI's taxonomy places the organism in Eukaryota, Metazoa, Chordata, Aves, Galliformes, Numididae. The record is from RefSeq and is a predicted model, not a curated record. The transcript is spliced from 3 exons.
UGGACUUAAGCUGCUUUCCGCAAAGGAGCGCUGUAUUGCCAGAGAGCCCUUUCAUCAGUUGACCUCAUCUUACGGUGGUUAUGAAGGAGUUGACCUGAACUCUCAUCACUUCUUCCUCUGAUCCCUGCUGCAUUCUGGAGUCCUGAGUACAUGAUGCUAGCAGUCCCGCACAAUUAAUUGUACAUGCUGGAGUAGCCAUGCCUUACCACAUGUGACUUUAGUUUACUGAAAAGAUGCCUGGGACACACGGGUUUAGUUUCUAAUCCUGCCACAGACUUAUGCUGAACCUAGGAUCGGUCGCUGAAUGCAUCUGAGACCUGAAACCCAUUUUUACUGGACUGAUGGAUAUCACUGUGAAGUCUAAGAGCAAAUAACACUCAAAGAUGACUGUGUGUAUUGUCAUGAGAUGCACCAGGAGAUCCAAAAUGGAAACAAAGAUUUUCUAAUCUUUCUGCUUUUCCUUUAAAGAAGGAGCUAAAUAAAGCCAGCUCUUUAGAAAUGCACAGAGAAAAAAGAAGCCAGGGGUUGGUUCUGCCCAGAGAAAUGAAAGCAGAAUCCUGGCUGCAACAUAGUGAGUGUUAGCUCACUGCCUGCCCAAAUACAAUAGUGCCUGCACCAUGGAACAGGCUUAAAACGAAGUUGGUGCUCCACAGCGAUGGAAAACCUGUUUGGUUUAAUGAGAGCAGGAAAAAAGAAGCUGAAGCAGUGACAGCAGGAGGAAGAAGUGCGGAGACCAAAGGGCUUUUUGUUGAAGUAUAAAAUGCACUUAACAGCUGUAGAAUUUAGUAGAUUUUCUUAAAUGUUCCUGGUGAUCUGGGUGUAGUUUAUUUUUAACAGCGCUGAACACUACUGCUCAUAGGCAUAGUAAUUUCUCUCCAACUCUGCUGCUGGGAGAUAUUUCCACCAGAGCUACAGAAGAGCAAAGGAGAAAUUUGCACGUCACUAAAACAAGCACAAGAAACACUCAAGCAGCUAUAGCAUAACUAAAUUGUAUAUGAAGUUGCAGCAGGGUGUUUAUAUGGGAGUAUUGUGCUACUGAAAGGGUUUUUUUAACAAACUGGAGUAAAUCAAGAUGGGGUUAAAGAGGUUUCAAGCAUCCUUAAGGCUUAAACCAAAACAAUUUUCUUACUCAUGGCACCACUUUAGAAUAUAAAGGAAAAAAUACAACAAAUACUUUUCCACACUUAGUAUUUAUUCUAUUUCUUCUGAGUUGGGCCUGAAAAUCACAGGGGCUAAUUUCGCCUCCGGGCUGGCUGUAGUUUUAUUUGGUCAAAUAAUUUCUGUAAGUAAGCAUCAUUGUUUGAUGGAUAUUUUUACAAAGAAGUUGGUUUGGACAACCCGAUGUUGUGGGAGGUGUUUCUGCCCAGGGAAGAUGGAUGGAAUUGGAUGAUCUUUAAGAUCCCUUCCAGCCCAAACCAUUCUGUGAUUUUAUGAUCCUGAGUAAUUUGUGUUUAGCUUGACUGUAGUUAGGAAUUCCAACCCUGCUGAAUGUUGUCUAGUCAUUGAUUUUGUAGUUACUUUACUCCGUUUGGCUGUCAGCAUGCAAGCUUGGCUCUGAAGGAAGGUUCCAUUGACUCAUGAAUACUUGAACUGCUGCUGACUUCAAAGCCCAGCCCUGACCGGCCAAGUUAGUCCUAACCAUAUAAAAGCAAAUUCUGCUUGGUAGCCAGCUUUUGCCCAGUGUGUUUUCCUCCUUUGAGGCAACUUUCCAUAUUCCUUAAACCAUCCUGCAUAUGGCUUUUCAUUGGCCAUUAGUGUCUAUAGAGUUAACAUCUUUGUUUAAAAAAAGUUAAAAAAAAAAAAA